This 1056-nucleotide ribosomal RNA is filed under the name Mesobacillus foraminis. RNAcentral's name for it is "bacterial SSU rRNA". It matches the Rfam family "Bacterial small subunit ribosomal RNA", at positions 36 to 1072 of the family's 1533-position model. The record is from RNAcentral. Lineage: Bacteria; Bacillati; Bacillota; Bacilli; Caryophanales; Bacillaceae.
GUGGCGGCGUGCCUAAUACAUGCAAGUCGAGCGAAUCGGAGGGAGCUUGCUCCCAAAGAUUAGCGGCGGACGGGUGAGUAACACGUGGGCAACCUGCCUGUAAGACUGGGAUAACUUCGGGAAACCGGAGCUAAUACCGGAUAAUCCUUUUCCUCNCAUGAGGNAAAGCUGAAAGACGGUUUCGGCUGUCACUUACAGAUGGGCCCGCGGCGCAUUAGCUAGUUGGUGAGGUAACGGCUCACCAAGGCCACGAUGCGUAGCCAACCUGAGAGGGUGAUCGGCCACACUGGGACUGAGACACGGCCCAGACUCCUACGGGAGGCAGCAGUAGGGAAUCUUCCGCAAUGGACGAAAGUCUGACGGAGCAACGCCGCGUGAGCGAAGAAGGCCUUCGGGUCGUAAAGCUCUGUUGUCAGGGAAGAACAAGUGCCGGAGUAACUGCCGGCACCUUGACGGUACCUGACCAGAAAGCCACGGCUAACUACGUGCCAGCAGCCGCGGUAAUACGUAGGUGGCAAGCGUUGUCCGGAAUUAUUGGGCGUAAAGCGCGCGCAGGCGGUCCUUUAAGUCUGAUGUGAAAGCCCACGGCUCAACCGUGGAGGGUCAUUGGAAACUGGGGGACUUGAGUGCAGAAGAGGAGAGUGGAAUUCCACGUGUAGCGGUGAAAUGCGUAGAGAUGUGGAGGAACACCAGUGGCGAAGGCGACUCUCUGGUCUGUAACUGACGCUGAGGCGCGAAAGCGUGGGGAGCGAACAGGAUUAGAUACCCUGGUAGUCCACGCCGUAAACGAUGAGUGCUAAGUGUUAGAGGGUUUCCGCCCUUUAGUGCUGCAGCAAACGCAUUAAGCACUCCGCCUGGGGAGUACGGCCGCAAGGCUGAAACUCAAAGGAAUUGACGGGGGCCCGCACAAGCGGUGGAGCAUGUGGUUUAAUUCGAAGCAACGCGAAGAACCUUACCAGGUCUUGACAUCCUCUGACAACCCUAGAGAUAGGGCGUUCCCCUUCGGGGGACAGAGUGACAGGUGGUGCAUGGUUGUCGUCAGCUCGUGUCGUGAGA